CAAUAGUGUAUACUAAUGUUGUUGCAGUUAAAAAGCUCGUAGUUGAACUUCUGGUAGGAGUGUCCCGGCCUUUUUGUUUUUACAAAUUGUAUGCUGUGUGACAUCUCUGGCCAUCCUUCUUCUUUGUUUAAAGAAGAUCUUUCACUGUAAAAAAAUUAGGGUGUUCAAAGCAAAAGUUUCUUUGGAAUAUAUUAGUAUGGGAUGAUAAGAUAGGCUCUAGAUGCUAUUUUGUUGGUUUGCACAUUUAGAGAAUGAUUAACAGGGACAGUUGGGGGUAUUCGUAUUUACAUGUCAGAGGUGAAAUUCUUGGAUUUUGGAAAGACGAACUACUGCGAAAGCAUUUACCAAGGAUGUUUUCAUUAA
This 363-nucleotide ribosomal RNA is filed under the name uncultured eukaryote. Its description in RNAcentral is "partial 18S ribosomal RNA". It matches the Rfam family "Eukaryotic small subunit ribosomal RNA", at positions 592 to 976 of the family's 1831-position model. The record is from RNAcentral.